UCCAGACUCCUACGGGAGGCAGCAGUGAGGAAUAUUGGUCAAUGGGCGGGAGCCUGAACCAGCCAAGUCGCGUGAGGGAAGACGGUCCUACGGAUUGUAAACCUCUUUUGCCGGGGAGCAACGGGGUCCUUGCGAGGGCCCGAUGAGAGUACCCGGAGAAAAAGCAUCGGCUAACUCCGUGCCAGCAGCCGCGGUAAUACGGAGGAUGCGAGCGUUAUCCGGAUUUAUUGGGUUUAAAGGGUGCGUAGGCGGAACAUUAAGUCAGCGGUAAAAUCGAGGGGCUCAACCCCUUUAAGCCGUUGAAACUGGUGAUCUUGAGUGGGCGAGAAGUAUGCGGAAUGCGUGGUGUAGCGGUGAAAUGCAUAGAUAUCACGCAGAACUCCGAUUGCGAAGGCAGCAUACCGGCGCCCGACUGACGCUGAGGCACGAAAGCGUGGGGAUCGAACAGGAUUAGAUACCCUAGUAGAA
This 468-nucleotide ribosomal RNA is filed under the name uncultured bacterium. Its description in RNAcentral is "bacterial SSU rRNA". It matches the Rfam family "Bacterial small subunit ribosomal RNA", at positions 330 to 795 of the family's 1533-position model. The record is from RNAcentral.